This 678-nucleotide ribosomal RNA is filed under the name uncultured beta proteobacterium. Its description in RNAcentral is "bacterial SSU rRNA". It matches the Rfam family "Bacterial small subunit ribosomal RNA", at positions 1 to 683 of the family's 1533-position model. Lineage: Bacteria; Pseudomonadati; Pseudomonadota; Betaproteobacteria. The record is from RNAcentral.
UCUCGGAAUUCGAUUAGAGUUUGAUCAUGCUCAGAUUGAUCUCUCGCGGCAUGCUUUACACAUGCAAGUCAACGGCAGCGCGGGCUUCGGCCUGGUGGCGAGUGGCGAACGGGUGAGUAAUGCAUCGGAACGUGCCCAUUUGUGGGGGAUAACUACGCGAAAGCGUGGCUAAUACCGCAUACGCCCUGAGGGGGAAAGCGGGGGAUUCUUCGGAACCUCGCGCAAUUGGAGCGGCCGAUGUCAGAUUAGCUUGUUGGUGAGGUAAAGGCUCACCAAGGCGACGAUCUGUAGCGGGUCUGAGAGGAUGAUCCGCCACACUGGGACUGAGACACGGCCCAGACUCCUACGGGAGGCAGCAGUGGGGAAUUUUGGACAAUGGGGGCAACCCUGAUCCAGCCAUGCCGCGUGAGUGAAGAAGCCUUCGGGUUGUAAAGCUCUUUCAGCCGGGAAGAAAGCGCACUCUCUAACAUAGGGUGUGGAUGACGGUACCGGAGAAGAGCACGGCUAACUACGUGCAGCAGCGCGGUAAUACGUAGGUGCGAGCGUUAAUCGGAAUUACUGGGCGUAAGGUGCGCAGCGGUUUGUAGACAGAUGUGAAAUCCCGGGCUUACUGGACUGCGUUUGUGACUGCAAGGCUAGAGUACGGCAGAGGGGGGUGGAAUUCCGCGUGUAGCAUGG